GCCAGGAGUGUGAAACGUAGACAGCCA
This 27-nucleotide non-coding RNA is filed under the name Macaca fascicularis (crab-eating macaque). The record is from RNAcentral. RNAcentral also lists the same sequence under 1 other name. Lineage: Eukaryota; Metazoa; Chordata; Mammalia; Primates; Cercopithecidae.